RNAcentral lists this long non-coding RNA (427 nucleotides) under Helianthus annuus (common sunflower). RNAcentral's name for it is "sRNA HanXRQr2_Chr11g0490931". Lineage: Eukaryota; Viridiplantae; Streptophyta; Magnoliopsida; Asterales; Asteraceae. The record is from RNAcentral.
GGGUUGGAUAUUAGUCAAUUGGUUAUCGGGUAACAACCUCGCAUUGUCAUAAUCCGAGUACUUAGUUCCCUUUUAUCACAACAAACAAUUACACACGAAUCAUGUCUAUGUGAUUCUUUCUAGUGAAUUUAAACACAAUUGUCCAAAGCAAACUAGAAAUUUAGGAUGGUCGCUUGUUCCUAAUCUGUUUACAAACUACGGUCUUUGAUUUGCAAUUUAAUUAGUUAAUUUUAGUUAUUAAAACCAAAACAAUCAAAUCUUGAAUUUUAAUUUCUGCAUUUUAGAUAUAGUUGACGGAUGCAACCCGCAUGAGUAAUUGUAGUUUAAUUACAAAGCUAUACAAUCGACAUACUUUCCACAUACUCCCUGAGUUCGAUACCCUCUUACCACUAUCUAUAGUUGUUUUUGGGAUUAAAUUUGCGUGACC